Molecule: signal recognition particle RNA, 97 nt
Filed under: Cellvibrionales bacterium TMED21
Lineage: Bacteria; Pseudomonadati; Pseudomonadota; Gammaproteobacteria; Cellvibrionales
Also listed under: 1 other name
Description: signal recognition particle sRNA small type
Rfam family: Bacterial small signal recognition particle RNA
About the family: The signal recognition particle (SRP) is a universally conserved ribonucleoprotein involved in the co-translational targeting of proteins to membranes.
Source: RNAcentral
GGACGGUCCCCUCGCAGCGAUAGAUAGUGAACCCCGCCAGGCCCGGAAGGGAGCAACGGUAGUUAUCGACUCGGGUGCCGGGGUGUGGCUGUUCGAG